This 913-nucleotide ribosomal RNA is filed under the name uncultured bacterium. RNAcentral's name for it is "bacterial SSU rRNA". It matches the Rfam family "Bacterial small subunit ribosomal RNA", at positions 8 to 916 of the family's 1533-position model. The record is from RNAcentral.
AGAGUUUGAUCCUGGCUCAGGAUGAACGCUAGCGGCAGGCUUAAUACAUGCAAGUCGAGGGGCAGCGCAGUGUAGCAAUACAUGGGCGGCGACCGGCAAACGGGUGCGGAACACGUACGCAACCUACCCAAAACUGGGGAAUAGCCCGGGGAAACCCGGAUUAAUACCUCGUAACCUAGUGGAGUGGCAUCACUUUAUUAGUAUAGCUCCGGCGGUUUUGGAUGGGCGUGCGCCUGAUUAGGUAGUUGGUGAGGGUAACGGCCCACCAAGCCUGCGAUCAGUAACUGGUGUGAGAGCACGACCAGUCACACGGGCACUGAGACACGGGCCCGACUCCUACGGGAGGCAGCAGUAAGGAAUAUUGGUCAAUGGACGCAAGUCUGAACCAGCCAUGCCGCGUGAAGGAUGAAGGUCCUCUGGAUUGUAAACUUCUUUUAUAUGGGACGAAACCCGGGAAUUCCUUCCCGAUUGACGGUACCAUAAGAAUAAGCACCGGCUAACUCCGUGCCAGCAGCCGCGGUAAUACGGAGGGUGCAAGCGUUAUCCGGAUUCACUGGGUUUAAAGGGUGCGUAGGAGGGUAGGUAAGUCAGUGGUGAAAUCUUCGAGCUUAACUCGGAAACUGCCGUUGAUACUAUCUAUCUUGAAUACCGUGGAGGUGAGCGGAAUAUGUCAUGUAGCGGUGAAAUGCUUAGAUAUGGCAUAGAACACCAAUUGCGAAGGCAGCUCGCUACACGAAUAUUGACUCUGAGGCACGAAAGCGUGGGGAUCAAACAGGAUUAGAUACCCUGGUAGUCCACGCCCUAAACGAUGGAUACUCGACAUACGCGAUACACAGUGUGUGUCUGAGCGAAAGCAUUAAGUAUCCCACCUGUGAAGUACGACCGCAAGGUUGAAACUCAAAUGAAUUGACGG